UGCAGUCGAACGGUAACAGCUCCUUCCGGAGGCUGACGAGUGGCGAACGGGUGAGUAAUACAUCGGAACGUGCCCGAUCGUGGGGGAUAACGGAGCGAAAGCUUUGCUAAUACCGCAUACGAUCUACGGAUGAAAGCAGGGGACCCUCGGGCCUUGCGCGAACGGAGCGGCCGAUGGCAGAUUAGGUAGUUGGUGGGAUAAAAGCUUACCAAGCCGACGAUCUGUAGCUGGUCUGAGAGGACGACCAGCCACACUGGGACUGAGACACGGCCCAGACUCCUACGGGAGGCAGCAGUGGGGAAUUUUGGACAAUGGGCGAAAGCCUGAUCCAGCAAUGCCGCGUGCAGGAUGAAGGCCUUCGGGUUGUAAACUGCUUUUGUACGGAACGAAAAGUCUCGGGAUAAUACCCUGGGACCAUGACGGUACCGUAAGAAUAAGCACCGGCUAACUAC
This 452-nucleotide ribosomal RNA is filed under the name Acidovorax sp. RNAcentral's name for it is "bacterial SSU rRNA". It matches the Rfam family "Bacterial small subunit ribosomal RNA", at positions 56 to 504 of the family's 1533-position model. The record is from RNAcentral. Lineage: Bacteria; Pseudomonadati; Pseudomonadota; Betaproteobacteria; Burkholderiales; Comamonadaceae.